This 771-nucleotide ribosomal RNA is filed under the name Psychrobacter sp. Z201. RNAcentral's name for it is "bacterial SSU rRNA". It matches the Rfam family "Bacterial small subunit ribosomal RNA", at positions 68 to 832 of the family's 1533-position model. The record is from RNAcentral. Lineage: Bacteria; Pseudomonadati; Pseudomonadota; Gammaproteobacteria; Moraxellales; Moraxellaceae.
GGAAACGAUGAUAGCUUGCUAUCAGGCGUCGAGCGGCGGACGGGUGAGUAAUACUUAGGAAUCUACCUAGUAGUGGGGGAUAGCACGGGGAAACUCGUAUUAAUACCGCAUACGACCUACGGGAGAAAGGGGGCAGUUUACUGCUCUCGCUAUUAGAUGAGCCUAAGUCGGAUUAGCUAGAUGGUGGGGUAAAGGCCUACCAUGGCGACGAUCUGUAGCUGGUCUGAGAGGAUGAUCAGCCACACCGGGACUGAGACACGGCCCGGACUCCUACGGGAGGCAGCAGUGGGGAAUAUUGGACAAUGGGGGAAACCCUGAUCCAGCCAUGCCGCGUGUGUGAAGAAGGCCUUUUGGUUGUAAAGCACUUUAAGCAGUGAAGAAGACUCCGUGGUUAAUACCCACGGACGAUGACAUUAGCUGCAGAAUAAGCACCGGCUAACUCUGUGCCAGCAGCCGCGGUAAUACAGAGGGUGCAAGCGUUAAUCGGAAUUACUGGGCGUAAAGGGAGCGUAGGUGGCUCGAUAAGUCAGAUGUGAAAUCCCCGGGCUCAACCUGGGAACUGCAUCUGAUACUGUUGAGCUAGAGUAUGUGAGAGGAAGGUAGAAUUCCAGGUGUAGCGGUGAAAUGCGUAGAGAUCUGGAGGAAUACCGAUGGCGAAGGCAGCCUUCUGGCAUAAUACUGACACUGAGGCUCGAAAGCGUGGGUAGCAAACAGGAUUAGAUACCCUGGUAGUCCACGCCGUAAACGAUGUCUACUAGUCGUUGGGUCCCU